RNAcentral lists this ribosomal RNA (440 nucleotides) under uncultured bacterium. Its description in RNAcentral is "partial 16S ribosomal RNA". It matches the Rfam family "Bacterial small subunit ribosomal RNA", at positions 338 to 795 of the family's 1533-position model. The record is from RNAcentral.
CCUACGGGCGGCAGCAGUAGGGAAUAUUGCUCAAUGGGGGAAACCCUGAAGCAGCCACGCCGCGUGGAGGAUGAAGGUUUUCGGAUUGUAAACUCCUUUUGUUAGAGAAGAUAAUGACGGUAUCUAACGAAUAAGCACCGGCUAACUCCGUGCCAGCAGCCGCGGUAAUACGGAGGGUGCAAGCGUUACUCGGAAUCACUGGGCGUAAAGAGCGCGUAGGCGGGAUAGCAAGUCAGAUGUGAAAUCCUAUGGAUUAACCAUAGAACUGCAUGUGAAACUGUUAGUCUAGAGUAUGGGAGAGGUAGGUGGAAUGCUUGGUGUAGGGGUAAAAUCCGUAGAGAUCAAGAGGAAUACUGAUUGCGAAGGCGACCUGCUGGAACAUAACUGACGCUGAGGCGCGAAAGCGUGGGGAUCAAACAGGAUUAGAUACCCCUGUAGUC